AGCAUCGGUAGAUGUGGGCUCACAGAUUUCUUGUAUUUGUGCUGUUAUUUACAAAUAAAAGGUUUCCAGGUUUUAUUCUUGGCCCUUGCUG
Non-coding RNA from Turdus rufiventris (rufous-bellied thrush), 91 nucleotides. NCBI's taxonomy places the organism in Eukaryota, Metazoa, Chordata, Aves, Passeriformes, Turdidae. The record is from the annotation of a GenBank genome assembly.